AUUGAACGCUGGCGGCAUGCCUUACACAUGCAAGUCGAACGGUAACAGGUCUUCGGAUGCUGACGAGUGGCGAACGGGUGAGUAAUACAUCGGAACGUGCCCGAUCGUGGGGGAUAACGAAGCGAAAGCUUUGCUAAUACCGCAUACGAUCUACGGAUGAAAGCAGGGGACCGCAAGGCCUUGCGCGAACGGAGCGGCCGAUGGCAGAUUAGGUAGUUGGUGGGAUAAAAGCUUACCAAGCCGACGACCUGUAGCUGGUCUGAGAGGACGACCAGCCACACUGGGACGGAGACACGGCCCAGACUCCUACGGGAGGCAGCAGUGGGGAAUUUUGGACAAUGGGCGAAAGCCUGAUCCAGCCAUGCCGCGUGCAGGAUGAAGGCCUUCGGGUUGUAAACUGCUUUUGUACGGAACGAAAAGACUCUGGUUAAUACCUGGGGUCCAUGACGGUACCGUAAGAAUAAGCACCGGCUAACUACGUGCCAGCAGCCGCCGUAA
Molecule: ribosomal RNA, 498 nt
Filed under: uncultured bacterium
Lineage: Bacteria
Description: partial 16S ribosomal RNA
Rfam family: Bacterial small subunit ribosomal RNA
Source: RNAcentral